RNAcentral lists this ribosomal RNA (306 nucleotides) under Clostridioides difficile. RNAcentral describes it as "bacterial SSU rRNA". It matches the Rfam family "Bacterial small subunit ribosomal RNA", at positions 1136 to 1441 of the family's 1533-position model. Lineage: Bacteria; Bacillati; Bacillota; Clostridia; Peptostreptococcales; Peptostreptococcaceae. The record is from RNAcentral.
CACUCUAGAGAGACUGCCAGGGAUAACCUGGAGGAAGGUGGGGAUGACGUCAAAUCAUCAUGCCCCUUAUGCUUAGGGCUACACACGUGCUACAAUGGGUAGUACAGAGGGUUGCCAAGCCGUAAGGUGGAGCUAAUCCCUUAAAGCUACUCUUAGUUCGGAUUGUAGGCUGAAACUCGCCUACAUGAAGCUGGAGUUACUAGUAAUCGCAGAUCAGAAUGCUGCGGUGAAUGCGUUCCCGGGUCUUGUACACACCGCCCGUCACACCACGGGAGUUGGAGACGCCCGAAGCCGAUUAUCUAACCU